RNAcentral lists this transfer RNA (76 nucleotides) under Christensenellaceae bacterium. RNAcentral describes it as "tRNA-Val". It matches the Rfam family "tRNA". Rfam says of the family: Transfer RNA (tRNA) molecules are approximately 80 nucleotides in length. Their secondary structure includes four short double-helical elements and three loops (D, anti-codon, and T loops). RNAcentral also lists the same sequence under 1 other name. The record is from RNAcentral. Lineage: Bacteria; Bacillati; Bacillota; Clostridia; Christensenellales; Christensenellaceae.
GGGAGCAUAGCUCAGCUGGGAGAGCACCUGCCUUACAAGCAGGGGGUCACAGGUUCAAGUCCUGUUGCUCCCACCA